AACAGUACCCCCCGUCGGAACAGUGCACAGCACGGCGCCUGUCCGCCCUGUCCUCCGCUGCGCUCCCGACCCGAGACCGCCCCGUCGCGUCGGCGUGCUCCCGGUGCUCGAUGCCCGGCCCCUUUCCCGCCGAGAUAAGAGCCACGCCCCUUCUCUCUCCUUUUCCCCCGUUUCUUCUCCCUCCUACUUCUCUCUUCAUGUUCUUCUUCCCUGCCACCCUCUCCGGCGGCAACUCGACCGCGCGAGCACAAGCUUCGCUGUCCCCCGUCAUGCGAGCGAGAUCCAUGGCGGGCCCCCCUACGCUUCCUCCCCAGCUUCGACGCCUCCGCGUCCGCGUCGACCGGCCAAGGUUCAGCUCGACCUCCUCGGUCUCCACCUACUCUCCGCGGCUGCCGCCCGCUCCGCGGGAUCCAGAUCCGGCCGCUCCUGCUCUCCUAGCCCCCGGCCUCCCCCUCCACCUCCUCGUCCUCACUCUGCUCCGCUAUCCACCCCCACGCGCCCACUCCGCCGGUGCAUCUCCUUGGCCAGAUCGCACAGCAUCGGCAGCGCCACGUACAGCGCCAUCCCCUCCUCCACGGCAGUCGCGCCGGGCACGGCGCAGCUCACCAAGUCCGCCUCCAUCAUCAGGCGGGCUCCCGCUGAACAAGUCUGACCUCAACCACCGUUGAUCUGGCUUAGCCUCCAGAAACCCGUGGUGCGCGCGCCGCAAGCUCCAGCAAGCAGAUAUGGUGCGGUGGUGACGACUGCUUCUGUUGCCGUGAGGAGGUCUACACCGUGUUCGUCUGCUUGGUAAGAAUCACCCCUCAAGCACGCCAUGUGCCCCUUCUCCAUUCAUCCAUCUGGUUAUGUAAAUUUGUAGGUUGUAGUUGUGUCUCAUUGUUCAAGUUUGAUAGAAAUCAAAUCCCUUGCUUCUAGAUUUAUGUUUUAUCUGCAUCAGGGAUUUGUACCUGCUAGAAAUCAAAUCCCGGAGUACUUGCAUCACUAAUGCAGACACGCCUCAAGCGCUCUGUUUUCUGUUCCUCAAUGGAAAUUCCAAUAGUCGGCACCACAGGUGUCCCAUCUAAUGCCGUAGAUAAUAAUUGACAUGCCACAAAACACGAAAAUGUAAUAGUAAAACAACAGUGCUAAAGUUUGUGAGAAGGUAAAAAAUUGUAAUUUAUAGUGCUAGCUUCUAACAUUUACACGGUCGCUAGCUUUGUCUUCACGUGUCCUUCACCUAAAGCCUUUGGUGCCUUCAAAAUUUGCCGUGCUAACUAGCUGGUUGCUAAACGUCAGCUCCUCUAAACAACCAAACCAAGCCAACAGCCAACCUUUUCAAGGAAAAAAAGAGCCAGAAUGUAUAGAUAACACCUGUCAUUAUGGAAACUAGCUAAAAUUGUCUAUCUGGUGGUAUCCAAAGGCAAGUGCACUUGAACUGAAGUUUUGUACCAAAAUAUAAUAUAGAUAAUGCCGUUGCAUCUGAAAGUGGAAGAGAGAUUUACAUCUCAAGAUUAGAGCAGCUCACCAUCUUUAAUGUAUAACAUAUUCUAUGUCCAUACUGUUCUGCGACUCAGCUUCAUAAAUUUUAUGUGAUGCAUACUCUUACAAAGUUUUAUACCCACCUAGCUUUUCUGUUUCUAGAAAGUUCUGCUACUUGCAUGAUCAGUUGCAAUUGUUUAAUACAGUUUUAUAUGCCUCGAGCACACAUACAUACACACUUGACCAAAAUUGAACUGAAUCGCUCGGCUGCUGGAUAUCCAUGUCGAUCUACCUGGGUUAAUAGAUUAAAAGUGACAGUAAAUUUAAUUUUAUUUAUUCAACUUGAUCAAUUUUUGUGUGAAUGUAGAACAUAGUUCAUUUUUAAUAGAUCUGGAAAGUUUUGAGAAAUUUUUUUUAGGACUUGUCGAUUGGUUUUCUACUGAAUUUGCAAUGCUAAUUAGAUAUUACAUCCUUGAUAGUUUGAUGAUACAUAUCUGAUCAUGCAAUCAAAUUUAUCCUAAUAACUAAAAUAUCAUAAGCAGACCGUACCUUUGGGUUUAUUUUAUUCUAAAUAACUAAAACAGCUAAUACCCUUGUGCAAUUGUUUUGCAGGACUGCAGUAAAGCAUGCACUUUGUUAAUUAAAUCAUCUUAAAUUCUGGUGUGAUUUUCCCAUCUGGAUGGUAAACUUUGAUUUUCAGCUAAAUGUUUGUUCUUUUUCCAGUGCGAAGUAAUGGAACAGAUUAAUUGAUAUGCUUCUUCUUUCUCUUGAAGAAUCUGAUUAAAGUAAUAAAACUGAACAUGCCCCUCCUUUCUCUGAUGAGCCUUUCCUUUACUUUCUCCAUGCUUAUGUGAAGCUUUCAAUUUUCUGUUAAAACUGUGCCGCAGGUUGCAAGACUUAAAUGCUAGAAGCCAAAAACAAGGGUUCCAUUGGUUACUCAAUUAAAUUUGAAGAUACUCCAUGUUUUCUAAAUUCCAAAAAAAGAUUAGUCUUCGACUGCCCAUCUGAGCAUUGUAUGGGAUUGUUCUUUCUUUCUUGUAUACCAAAAAAAAAACAAAGUGCAGCAGUCUGAACCUUUUCUGAUCAGAGAGCAUUACUCUGAUAUAACAAAAUACAUCAAAUAUUGAUGCAUCAUACCCAUUGGCAAUCAUGCAUGUUUUGAAGCCAGCAAACUCGUGAAGGAUUGUGUGUGGCCACACAAGUUGAGUUGAUCUCAUCCUAUCUGUGUAUGCUGGAUUUACUCGGCUCACAAGAGUUGAUAUGCUAAUUAUCAAAUGUAUAUACCUAACCUGAACAAUAUUGAAUUAAAUAUACAGUGUUUAAUCAAAUAUAGAACCUAUCAUGUUCCAGUAUCACAAUUUCUAAUGUUGUUGUCAUGAUAGGGCCCACAAAGUGUUUAGGGUAAGUCUGUUUGUCAAAUGAUGAUGACAAUAGGAGCCUUUUAAUUACCUUCUGAUAGUAAAGGGUGAAGAAUUUAUGUUGUCUUAAAUAUUAUUUUGAUUCUAUUGC
Long non-coding RNA from Panicum virgatum (switchgrass), 2967 nucleotides. RefSeq lists it as uncharacterized. NCBI's taxonomy places the organism in Eukaryota, Viridiplantae, Streptophyta, Magnoliopsida, Poales, Poaceae. The transcript has 3 exons. The record is from RefSeq and is a predicted model, not a curated record.